ACAGGCUCCUAUCGAAGCCGUUCAUGCUUUCCUGUAGCAGUGAGCGGUCAAACGGAAGCCGAGAUGAAGACUUUCACCGACGGUCGCUGUUCAGUUUAAAAAUAUAACUGCUCCAGCAACAUUUAGGGGAAGGACACUU
RNAcentral lists this small nucleolar RNA (139 nucleotides) under Mastacembelus armatus (zig-zag eel). The record is from RNAcentral. Lineage: Eukaryota; Metazoa; Chordata; Actinopteri; Synbranchiformes; Mastacembelidae.